CUGUUUGACUCUUGAAGGAAACAUGUCCUGGAAGUCUUUGACGAGGGUGGGCCAGGAUGCAGGAAGCUAGAAACAGGCUUCCCUUGCAGGACUACCAAGUGUGGCUCCAGCUCCUCCCAGCUACGCCCCAGCCAGCAGUGCUGGGACAGGGUUCCAGGCUGCCCCUCCACCAUCCCUCUGGCCUUUGCCAGGAAGCAGGAACUUACUGCUGCCAGAUAGGCCUGAACCCAGGAACUUGGGCGUGUUCCAGAGCCAAUGUGGGGGCCGGAGCACAGUGGGGAGGGCACUUGCCUUGCACAUGCCCACCUGGCUUCGAUCCUCUAACCCACUCCCACAGGGCACCUGCCCGGAGCUGUGUCCAAGGCCUUGGGUCAUGCCUGGGGCUGGAACAAUAGAUGCCAGGUCAAGCCACUCAGUAGUGGGUGGAGGCCACGUGGAGGGUCCCUUUGGUUCAGUUUCUGUGCCAAGUUCUUGCCCUAAGACCCUGGUGCCAGUAGCCUCAGGUACCCUCACCUUUGCAACUGCAGGUUCUGAACAGUGUCCCAGGAACACUAUAGGGAAGAGCCCUUGGAGGCUCUGAGGGGCACUGAAAAUUCAGCAAGGUCUGGUUCUUGACUGUACCCUCAAAACCAGACCCGCCACACUGCAGUUCCUGGCACUGUCCUCUCACUGAAGAGCUCAUUUCUCAUUUCUGUUAAUUCUUAGCGCCCAGAACUCUGAGCCCAGGGUGAAGCAGGGGUCUCCACAACUAAACUGGGGCCCCAGUCCUAGGCUGUGGGGGAGAACUAUAUCCAAAAUUCUACUUCAAAAUCUAAGAAACCUAGAUCACAAUACAAGUUGUUAAUGAAAAUAAGCUUUAUUACAUCAAGUAAUAAAUACAUACAAAGAUGCAAA
Molecule: long non-coding RNA, 894 nt
Organism: Suncus etruscus (white-toothed pygmy shrew)
Lineage: Eukaryota; Metazoa; Chordata; Mammalia; Eulipotyphla; Soricidae
Exons: 2
Source: RefSeq, a predicted model, not a curated record